This 468-nucleotide ribosomal RNA is filed under the name uncultured bacterium. RNAcentral describes it as "partial 16S ribosomal RNA". It matches the Rfam family "Bacterial small subunit ribosomal RNA", at positions 28 to 507 of the family's 1533-position model. The record is from RNAcentral.
GACGAACGCUGGCGGCGUGCUUAACACAUGCAAGUCGAACGGAAAGGCCCUGCUUUUGUGGGGUGCUCGAGUGGCGAACGGGUGAGUAACACGUGAGUAACCUGCCCUUGACUUUGGGAUAACUUCAGGAAACUGGGGCUAAUACCGGAUAGGAGCUCCUGCUGCAUGGUGGGGGUUGGAAAGUUUCGGUGCUUGGGGAUGGACUCGCGGCUUAUCAGCUUGUUGGUGGGGUAGUGGCUUACCAAGGCUUUGACGGGUAGCCGGCCUGAGAGGGUGACCGGCCACAUUGGGACUGAGAUACGGCCCAGACUCCUACGGGAGGCAGCAGUGGGGAAUAUUGCACAAUGGGCGGAAGCCUGAUGCAGCAACGCCGCGUGCGGGAUGACGGCCUUCGGGUUGUAAACCGCUUUCGCCUGUGACGAAGCGUGAGUGACGGUAAUGGGUAAAGAAGCACCGGCUAACUACGUG